RNAcentral lists this transfer RNA (67 nucleotides) under Papilio epycides. RNAcentral describes it as "tRNA-Cys". The record is from RNAcentral. Lineage: Eukaryota; Metazoa; Arthropoda; Insecta; Lepidoptera; Papilionidae.
AGCCUUAUAUUCAAAAAUGAUAUAAAAUUGCAAGUUUUAAGGAGUAUAAAAAAAAAUACUAAGGCCU